RNAcentral lists this ribosomal RNA (309 nucleotides) under uncultured eukaryote. Its description in RNAcentral is "partial 18S ribosomal RNA". It matches the Rfam family "Eukaryotic small subunit ribosomal RNA", at positions 1470 to 1796 of the family's 1831-position model. The record is from RNAcentral.
CCCUUAGAUGUUCUGGGCGGCCCGCGUACUACAAUGGCGUGUGCAGCGAGUGCCGAAGUAGAGUUUUCCGAGGUAUUCUUGCAAUGCUCGUUUUGAUGGGGAUAGACCCUUGCAACUGUUGGUUUUGAACGAGGAAUUCCUUGUAAGCAUGGUUUAUCAUCCGACGCUGAAUGCGUCCCUGCCCUUUGUACACACCGCCCGUCGCUCCUACCGAUGAGUCGUCCGGUGAAGUUCGUAGACCUCGUGAUCGCGGAUCACUGGGGGAAGCAAAAUGAACCUCGCGGUUUAGAGGAAGGAGAAGUCGUAACA